This 394-nucleotide long non-coding RNA is filed under the name Chrysolophus pictus (golden pheasant). RNAcentral's name for it is "lncRNA (ENSCPIG00010005482.1)". Lineage: Eukaryota; Metazoa; Chordata; Aves; Galliformes; Phasianidae. The record is from RNAcentral.
GUGUAGCCCUGUUCAUCCUCACUUUUGUGGUGGACCUUUGGAAUGGACCCAGAGUGAUGUAAACUUGCAGUAAUGACUCUUGAGCAGAAAGCAAUCGAGUGAUAACAGCCGGGCGGAGAUCAUCUGGAAGAUUGCCUUUGCUUCGCUUUAUUAAAGAGAGAAAACAUUCAGAGAAGUUCAAUGGGGGAAAAAUAAAGCAGAAGUUUUUGUGGAUUACAGGGUGACAAUAUGAGCUCUGGAAGCCAUGUGUUGACAGCAUAUGGAUAGCACAUUCCAGUUCUUAGCCAAAAUAGCCAGUUGAUAUGGACUUUCCAGCUUCUUACUUAAGGAAAUAGACCUCUAAUUCCAAUAGUUCAAUGGGGGAAAAAUAAACCAGAAGUUUUUGUGGAUUACA